GAUGAACGCUGGCGGCGUGCUUAACACAUGCAAGUCGAACGGUGAAGGCGGAGCUUGCUCUGCUGGAUCAGUGGCGAACGGGUGAGUAACACGUGAGCAAUCUGCCCCUGACUCUGGGAUAAGCGCUGGAAACGGCGUCUAAUACUGGAUACGAGCUGCGAAGGCAUCUUCAGCAGCUGGAAAGAAUUUCGGUCAGGGAUGAGCUCGCGGCCUAUCAGCUUGUUGGUGAGGUAAUGGCUCACCAAGGCGUCGACGGGUAGCCGGCCUGAGAGGGUGACCGGCCACACUGGGACUGAGACACGGCCCAGACUCCUACGGGAGGCAGCAGUGGGGAAUAUUGCACAAUGGGCGAAAGCCUGAUGCAGCAACGCCGCGUGAGGGACGACGGCCUUCGGGUUGUAAACCUCUUUUAGCAGGGAAGAGGCGAAAGUGACGGUACCUGCAGAAAAAGCGCCGGCUAACUACGUG
This 468-nucleotide ribosomal RNA is filed under the name uncultured bacterium. RNAcentral's name for it is "partial 16S ribosomal RNA". It matches the Rfam family "Bacterial small subunit ribosomal RNA", at positions 28 to 507 of the family's 1533-position model. The record is from RNAcentral.